GACGACGAUGCGUAGGGGUUCUGAGAGGAAGGUCCCCCACACUGGUACUGAGACACGGACCAGACUCCUACGGGAGGCAGCAGUGAGGAAUAUUGGUCAAUGGGCGGGAGCCUGAACCGGCCAAGUCGCGUGAGGGAUGACGGCCCUAUGGGUUGUAAACCUCUUUUGCCGGGGAGCAAAGUGCCGCACGUGUGCGGUUUGGAGAGUACCCGGAGAAAAAGCAUCGGCUAACUCCGUGCCAGCAGCCGCGGUAAUACGGAGGAUGCGAGCGUUAUCCGGAUUUAUUGGGUUUAAAGGGUGCGUAGGCGGACGCUUAAGUCAGCGGUAAAAUUGCGGGGCUCAACCUCGUCGAGCCGUUGAAACUGGGUGCCUUGAGUGGGCGAGAAGUACGCGGAAUGCGUGGUGUAGCGGUGAAAUGCAUAGAUAUCACGCAGAACUCCGAUUGCGAAGGCAGCGUACCGGCGCCCAACUGACGCUGAAGCACGAAGGCGUGGGUAUCGAACAGGAUUAGAUACCCUGGUAGUCCACGCAGUAAACGAUGAAUGCUAGUUGUCCGGGGCGAUUGAGUUCU
RNAcentral lists this ribosomal RNA (571 nucleotides) under uncultured bacterium. Its description in RNAcentral is "bacterial SSU rRNA". It matches the Rfam family "Bacterial small subunit ribosomal RNA", at positions 272 to 840 of the family's 1533-position model. The record is from RNAcentral.